CAGUCGUACCGGCGGAUAAUCAGCCUUUCGGGUGCGAUUCUGUGGGGCGUGAGGAGUUUAACCGCCUUCAUGUUUUGCAUAUUCGUGCACAUUUGGUGUACUUGUCCGUGUGGUGGGUUAACAUCAAUUUCGGUCGUCAUAAAAUGAUUGGAGGAAUGUAGCUUCGAUCCUGUAUUGAAGUGUUAUAGCCUUCGGUAGAUGUGAUGGACUGAGAUUGAGGAUUGCAACGGAUACCCUUCGGGGCUACUCGUCUGAUCUCUGAAGGUUGCUCCGGUGCCGAAAGCGUGCUUACGGUCA
RNAcentral lists this ribosomal RNA (297 nucleotides) under Glomus sp. (unid). Lineage: Eukaryota; Fungi; Glomeromycota; Glomeromycetes; Glomerales; Glomeraceae. The record is from RNAcentral.